This is a long non-coding RNA of Centropristis striata (black sea bass), 749 nucleotides long. RefSeq lists it as uncharacterized. The record is from RefSeq and is a predicted model, not a curated record. Lineage: Eukaryota; Metazoa; Chordata; Actinopteri; Perciformes; Serranidae. The transcript is spliced from 2 exons.
AAGAAGCAGUGAGAGGGUGGAGGAGUGUUUCGACAUGGCAGACAGUCUGAGGGCCCAGCUGUCUGUCCGGAGCCCAAGAUCUGCUUGUCUGACGAGUCUAUUCAUCAUGAAAUCUGCCCUGGUCUUUACUGGGACAGCAGAAAGCAGCUCUGUGUGCACCGUGGGAUGAGGUAGUAGGUUGUAUAGUUUUAGGGUCACACCCGCACUGGGAGAUAACUAUUCAACCUACUGUCUUUCUCAAAGUGCCAAACACACGUCUCUGAGGAGCCUCUGUGUCUUCUUUCAGUCAUUGUGCCCAUGGAUGGAGAUGUUGCUCACACAGUGUGAGGUAGUAGAUUGUAUAGUUGUAGGGUAGUGAUUUUGCCCUGUUUGGGAGAUAACUAUACAAUCUAUUGCCUUCCCUGAGGAGUGGCUUUUCUUCUAUUUGAUUCAUGUUAAAUGGUAUUCAUACAUUCAUCCUCAGAGUGCUUCAGGGUUCUUAAGAGGUCCCGAAAGACUGACGCUACACAGCUUCUCUGUAAACUGUCCUUUAUCCAUUUUUUUUAAAUAUUUUUUUUAUUUACGUUAUCUUUAAGUUGUGGUGAGCUUUGUUGGUUCUGAGCAGAAGUGAAUUUUGUUAAGCUGCUUUUUAGUUUUCAAUACAUUGUGAUCUAUUUUUGGUUGACAAAUGAAAUCUGCUAUCAUUUAAAAUAAUUGGUAAUAUUGUUUUUUGCCGGAACAAACAACUUUAAUAAAAAUCUGAAAUAAUA